CCUACGGGGGGCAGCAGUGAGGAAUAUUGGUCAAUGGGCGAGAGCCUGAACCAGCCAAGUCGCGUGAGGGUGUACUGCCCUAUGGGUUGUAAACCUCUUUUGUCGGGGAGCAAAAGCCGGACGUGUCCGGCUGUGAGAGUACCCGAAGAAAAAGCAUCGGCUAACUCCGUGCCAGCAGCCGCGGUAAUACGGAGGAUGCGAGCGUUAUCCGGAUUUAUUGGGUUUAAAGGGUGCGCAGGCGGAUUGUUAAGUCAGCGGUAAAAUCGUGGGGCUCAACCCCAUCCAGCCGUUGAAACUGGGGAUCUAGAGUGUGCGAGAGGUAUGCGGAAUGCGUGGUGUAGCGGUGAAAUGCAUAGAUAUCACGCAGAACCCCGAUUGCGAAGGCAGCAUACCGGUGCACAACUGACGCUCAGGCACGAAAGCGUGGGUAUCGAACAGGAUUAGAUACCCCGGUAGUC
Molecule: ribosomal RNA, 458 nt
Filed under: uncultured bacterium
Lineage: Bacteria
Description: partial 16S ribosomal RNA
Rfam family: Bacterial small subunit ribosomal RNA
Source: RNAcentral